GAUGAACGCUGGCGGCGUGCUUAACACAUGCAAGUCGAACGGAAAGGCUCCUGCUUGCAGGGGCACUCGAGUGGCGAACGGGUGAGUAACACGUGGGUGAUCUGCCCUGCACUUCGGGAUAAGUCUGGGAAACUGGGUCUAAUACCGGAUAGGACCAUCGUUUAGUGUCGGUGGUGGAAAGUUUUUUCGGUGUGGGAUGAGCUCGCGGCCUAUCAGCUUGUUGGUGGGGUAAUGGCCUACCAAGGCGUCGACGGGUAGCCGGCCUGAGAGGGUGUACGGCCUCGGGAGGGCGAGAAGACGGCCCAGCCUACGACGGGAAGCAGCGGGGGGGAAUGUAUAACAAGAGGAUGAAGCCUGAAGCGACGACGCGGGGGGGGUGAAGGCCGCCGUCGGGUUAUAAACCCCUUGCCCCAAGGACGAAGCGAAAGUGACGGUACCUGGAGAAGAAGCACCGGCUAACUACGUG
RNAcentral lists this ribosomal RNA (466 nucleotides) under uncultured bacterium. RNAcentral describes it as "partial 16S ribosomal RNA". It matches the Rfam family "Bacterial small subunit ribosomal RNA", at positions 28 to 507 of the family's 1533-position model. The record is from RNAcentral.